Corticium candelabrum is the source of this 724-nucleotide long non-coding RNA. RefSeq lists it as uncharacterized. The record is from RefSeq and is a predicted model, not a curated record. The transcript is spliced from 3 exons. Lineage: Eukaryota; Metazoa; Porifera; Homoscleromorpha; Homosclerophorida; Plakinidae.
UUGACGGUUGUACUGAUUCUCGUCUGUCUCCCGACUGGAUUGUCGCCGAGUUUGAAUAUGUAACUUCGAAGUUGUCACUCAGCUCUGUUACCAGUAAACUAAACCUCUAUGGAACGUGCAAAAGCAAUUUCAUACGUUUGGCUUGUACAAAACCGUCAUGUGAGUCCAACAAUCGUCUGCGUGGCUACAAGAGCCGCACCGAAUGCAACGACUUUCUGAAUUGUAUCACCGAUGUCCAAGAAAAAGAAAAAUAUGAAAAAAGGCUGUUGUGUGAUAUUGUGGAUAAUUUUCGUAAGCCAAGCAUAUGCGCUGGAAAAACUCGAUCUUGUCGCAUUUCUGAUAACGACGGUGCUAGGGAUGCACACAAAUCAGCUGAUGACGUUAAUCAUAAAGAUAGCCAUGACGGUUGCGGCUCAGUUUGCUACAUUGGGAUUGCUGCUGGAUGUGCUGGAGUUGUCUUGUUACUAGCAGUUGUAGCAGUCAUUGUGAAAAAGAAAAAGGCUGCAGGCAGGAGAGAACCGUUCCGUUCAUUGAAAAACGAAACCUAAAACAUUGGACCAACAAGGUCGACUGCACCAGCAACUAGGCAGCUGUUGUAGUGUUUGCGUACGUUGUGAUCUGCUGACUGCGUUUCGUCAGUGUAGCUUAGAGCCUAGAGUAUUAGAACUUUCAAUUGCAAGUGAGCUGGUGUCUAGAGUUGCGCGUGCGUUUAUGACGUCUGUGA